UGCCAGCCGCCGCGGUAAUACGGAGGGUGCAAGCGUUAUCCGGAAUUACUGGGUUUAAAGGAUGCGUAGGCGGGCUAAUAAGUCAGAAGUGAAAGCUCACGGCUCAACUGUGGAAUUGCUUUUGAUACUGUUAGUCUUGAAUUAGGUUGAGGUUGGCGGAAUGAGUCAUGUAGCGGUGAAAUGCAUAGAUAUGACUUAGAACACCAAUUGCGAAGGCAGCUGACUAGACCUUAAUUGACGCUGAGGCAUGAAAGCGUGGGGAGCGAACAGGAUUAGAUA
Molecule: ribosomal RNA, 279 nt
Filed under: uncultured bacterium
Lineage: Bacteria
Description: partial 16S ribosomal RNA
Rfam family: Bacterial small subunit ribosomal RNA
Source: RNAcentral